GCUUUUGAUGGGCGUCGACCGGCGCACGGGUGAGUAACGCGUAUCCAACCUGCCCACCACUUGGGGAUAACCUUGCGAAAGUAAGACUAAUACCCAAUGACGUCUCUAGAAGACAUCUGAAAGAGAUUAAAGAUUUAUCGGUGAUGGAUGGGGAUGCGUCUGAUUAGCUUGUUGGCGGGGUAACGGCCCACCAAGGCGACGAUCAGUAGGGGUUCUGAGAGGAAGGUCCCCCACAUUGGAACUGAGACACGGUCCAAACUCCUACGGGAGGCAGCAGUGAGGAAUAUUGGUCAAUGGACGCAAGUCUGAACCAGCCAAGUAGCGUGCAGGAAGACGGCCCUCUGGGUUGUAAACUGCUUUUAUAAGGGAAUAAAGUGAGUCUCGUGAGACUUUUUGCAUGUACCUUAUGAAUAAGGACCGGCUAAUUCCGUGCCAGCAGCCGCGGUAAUACGGAAGGUCCGGGCGUUAUCCGGAUUUAUUGGGUUUAAAGGGAGCGUAGGCCGGAGAUUAAGCGUGUUGUGAAAUGUAGACGCUCAACGUCUGCACUGCAGCGCGAACUGGUUUCCUUGAGUACGCACAAAGUGGGCGGAAUUCGUGGUGUAGCGGUGAAAUGCUUAGAUAUCACGAAGAACUCCGAUUGCGAAGGCAGCUCACUGGAGCGCAACUGACGCUGAAGCUCGAAAGUGCGGGUAUCGAACAGGAUUAGAUACCCUGGUAGUCCGCACGGUAAACGAUGGAUGCCCGCUGUUGGUCUGAAUAGGUCA
RNAcentral lists this ribosomal RNA (764 nucleotides) under uncultured bacterium. RNAcentral's name for it is "bacterial SSU rRNA". It matches the Rfam family "Bacterial small subunit ribosomal RNA", at positions 77 to 842 of the family's 1533-position model. The record is from RNAcentral.